CUUUCUGGGGUUAUUCCAGAAUCAAUUGGACUUCUUCAGAAACUUGAAGUUUUACGGCUAGACCGCAAUAAUUUGAUUGGACUAGUUCCUCAAAGUAUCAGCAAUCUGACAAGACUCAAAGUGCUAAACUUUGCAAACAACGAGCUAACAGGAAUGAUACCAAAUAUGACUGGAAUGCAUGCCCUCUACAAUCUGUGAGAAUAAGCCAUUUCAGGACUAGCUUGAUUUUCCAUUUGGUGAAAUGGGAGAUUAUGCAUACCUGAUUUCAUUUACAGGGACUUGAGCAACAACUCAUUUGAUCC
This is a long non-coding RNA of Zingiber officinale, 302 nucleotides long. RefSeq lists it as uncharacterized. The transcript has 3 exons. NCBI's taxonomy places the organism in Eukaryota, Viridiplantae, Streptophyta, Magnoliopsida, Zingiberales, Zingiberaceae. The record is from RefSeq and is a predicted model, not a curated record.